GGGUUGUGAGGUUAAGCGACUAAGCGUACACGGUGGAUGCCCUGGCAGUCAGAGGCGAUGAAGGACGUGCUAAUCUGCGAUAAGCGUCGGUAAGGUGAUAUGAACCGUUAUAACCGGCGAUUUCCGAAUGGGGAAACCCAGUGUGUUUCGACACACUAUCAUUAACUGAAUCCAUAGGUUAAUGAGGCGAACCGGGGGAACUGAAACAUCUAAGUACCCCGAGGAAAAGAAAUCAACCGAGAUUCCCCCAGUAGCGGCGAGCGAACGGGGAGCAGCCCAGAGCCUGAAUCAGUGUGUGUGUUAGUGGAAGCGUCUGGAAAGGCGCGCGAUACAGGGUGACAGCCCCGUACACAAAAAUGCACAUACUGUGAGCUCGAUGAGUAGGGCGGGACACGUGGUAUCCUGUCUGAAUAUGGGGGACCAUCCUCCAAGGCUAAAUACUCCUGACUGACCGAUAGUGAACCAGUACCGUGAGGGAAAGGCGAAAAGAACCCCGGCGAGGGGAGUGAAAAAGAACCUGAAACCGUGUACGUACAAGCAGUGGGAGCCUCUUUUAUGGGGUGACUGCGUACCUUUUGUAUAAUGGGUCAGCGACUUAUAUUCUGUAGCAAGGUUAACCGAAUAGGGGAGCCGAAGGGAAACCGAGUCUUAACCGGGCGUUAAGUUGCAGGGUAUAGACCCGAAACCCGGUGAUCUAGCCAUGGGCAGGUUGAAGGUUGGGUAACACUAACUGGAGGACCGAACCGACUAAUGUUGAAAAAUUAGCGGAUGACUUGUGGCUGGGGGUGAAAGGCCAAUCAAACCGGGAGAUAGCUGGUUCUCCCCGAAAGCUAUUUAGGUAGCGCCUCGUGAAUUCAUCUCCGGGGGUAGAGCACUGUUUCGGCAAGGGGGUCAUCCCGACUUACCAACCCGAUGCAAACUGCGAAUACCGGAGAAUGUUAUCACGGGAGACACACGGCGGGUGCUAACGUCCGUCGUGAAGAGGGAAACAACCCAGACCGCCAGCUAAGGUCCCAAAGUCAUGGUUAAGUGGGAAACGAUGUGGGAAGGCCCAGACAGCCAGGAUGUUGGCUUAGAAGCAGCCAUCAUUUAAAGAAAGCGUAAUAGCUCACUGGUCGAGUCGGCCUGCGCGGAAGAUGUAACGGGGCUAAACCAUGCACCGAAGCUGCGGCAGCGACACUGUGUGUUGUUGGGUAGGGGAGCGUUCUGUAAGCCUGUGAAGGUGUACUGUAAGGUAUGCUGGAGGUAUCAGAAGUGCGAAUGCUGACAUAAGUAACGAUAAAGCGGGUGAAAAGCCCGCUCGCCGGAAGACCAAGGGUUCCUGUCCAACGUUAAUCGGGGCAGGGUGAGUCGACCCCUAAGGCGAGGCCGAAAGGCGUAGUCGAUGGGAAACAGGUUAAUAUUCCUGUACUUGGUGUUACUGCGAAGGGGGACGGAGAAGGCUAUGUUGGCCGGGCGACGGUUGUCCCGGUUUAAGCGUGUAGGCUGGUUUUCCAGGCAAAUCCGGAAAAUCAAGGCUGAGGCGUGAUGACGAGGCACUACGGUGCUGAAGCAACAAAUGCCCUGCUUCCAGGAAAAGCCUCUAAGCAUCAGGUAACAUCAAAUCGUACCCCAAACCGACACAGGUGGUCAGGUAGAGAAUACCAAGGCGCUUGAGAGAACUCGGGUGAAGGAACUAGGCAAAAUGGUGCCGUAACUUCGGGAGAAGGCACGCUGAUAUGUAGGUGAAGUCCCUCGCGGAUGGAGCUGAAAUCAGUCGAAGAUACCAGCUGGCUGCAACUGUUUAUUAAAAACACAGCACUGUGCAAACACGAAAGUGGACGUAUACGGUGUGACGCCUGCCCGGUGCCGGAAGGUUAAUUGAUGGGGUCAGCGCAAGCGAAGCUCUUGAUCGAAGCCCCGGUAAACGGCGGCCGUAACUAUAACGGUCCUAAGGUAGCGAAAUUCCUUGUCGGGUAAGUUCCGACCUGCACGAAUGGCGUAAUGAUGGCCAGGCUGUCUCCACCCGAGACUCAGUGAAAUUGAACUCGCUGUGAAGAUGCAGUGUACCCGCGGCAAGACGGAAAGACCCCGUGAACCUUUACUAUAGCUUGACACUGAACAUUGAGCCUUGAUGUGUAGGAUAGGUGGGAGGCUUUGAAGUGUGGACGCCAGUCUGCAUGGAGCCGACCUUGAAAUACCACCCUUUAAUGUUUGAUGUUCUAACGUGGACCCGUGAUCCGGGUUGCGGACAGUGUCUGGUGGGUAGUUUGACUGGGGCGGUCUCCUCCUAAAGAGUAACGGAGGAGCACGAAGGUUGGCUAAUCCUGGUCGGACAUCAGGAGGUUAGUGCAAUGGCAUAAGCCAGCUUGACUGCGAGCGUGACGGCGCGAGCAGGUGCGAAAGCAGGUCAUAGUGAUCCGGUGGUUCUGAAUGGAAGGGCCAUCGCUCAACGGAUAAAAGGUACUCCGGGGAUAACAGGCUGAUACCGCCCAAGAGUUCAUAUCGACGGCGGUGUUUGGCACCUCGAUGUCGGCUCAUCACAUCCUGGGGCUGAAGUAGGUCCCAAGGGUAUGGCUGUUCGCCAUUUAAAGUGGUACGCGAGCUGGGUUUAGAACGUCGUGAGACAGUUCGGUCCCUAUCUGCCGUGGGCGCUGGAGAACUGAGGGGGGCUGCUCCUAGUACGAGAGGACCGGAGUGGACGCAUCACUGGUGUUCGGGUUGUCAUGCCAAUGGCACUGCCCGGUAGCUAAAUGCGGAAGAGAUAAGUGCUGAAAGCAUCUAAGCACGAAACUUGCCCCGAGAUGAGUUCUCCCUGACCCUUUAAGGGUCCUGAAGGAACGUUGAAGACGACGACGUUGAUAGGCCGGGUGUGUAAGCGCAGCGAUGCGUUGAGCUAACCGGUACUAAUGAACCGUGAGGCUUAACCUUACAACGCCGAAGGUGUUU
This 2928-nucleotide ribosomal RNA is filed under the name Escherichia coli. RNAcentral describes it as "23S ribosomal RNA". It matches the Rfam family "Bacterial large subunit ribosomal RNA". The record is from RNAcentral. Lineage: Bacteria; Pseudomonadati; Pseudomonadota; Gammaproteobacteria; Enterobacterales; Enterobacteriaceae. RNAcentral also lists the same sequence under 1 other name.